UACGUAGGGAGCAAGCGUUGUCCGGAAUCAUUGGGCGUAAAGCGCGCGUAGGUGGCCCGGUAAGUCCGCUCUGAAAGUCAAAGGCUCAACCUUUGAAAGCGGGUGGAUACUGCCAGGCUAGAGUCCGGAAGAGGCGAGUGGAAUUCCUGGUGUAGCGGUGAAAUGCGCAGAUAUCGGGAGGAACACCAAUUGCGAAGGCAGCUCGCUGGGACGUCACUGACGCUGAGACGCGAAAGCGUGGGGAGCAAACAGG
RNAcentral lists this ribosomal RNA (253 nucleotides) under uncultured bacterium. RNAcentral's name for it is "partial 16S ribosomal RNA". It matches the Rfam family "Bacterial small subunit ribosomal RNA", at positions 524 to 776 of the family's 1533-position model. The record is from RNAcentral.